This is a non-coding RNA of Oncorhynchus mykiss (rainbow trout), 1005 nucleotides long. The record is from RefSeq and is a predicted model, not a curated record. Lineage: Eukaryota; Metazoa; Chordata; Actinopteri; Salmoniformes; Salmonidae.
UUCACUGCAAGCUGCAGGGGUUGACUUUCACCAGCAGGAGCCAGACAUUUUAAAGGUUAAGAAGGUGGCCUUUAUAGCUAUGGUGAUAAAUGCCACUGCCAAGGUGGAGAGCAGGUCCAGGAAGAUAGAAAUGAUUGUGGAUGUGGCGGAGCGAUUCCUGGAGCUGAAAGAUUUCUCAGUACCACCCUCUCAGGCCCUACAUCCUGAGAAGUUUCAACCUGUCCAGUUGGUGGCGGCAAUACACCUUUUGGGGUUGUAGUCCGCCAUAAAACCCACAGAAGCAGAAGAAGAAUACAAACGAAGAAGACCGACACAUCCAAACUGUCCAUUUUCAUACCCUGGCAUAUUCCUUUCAACCUGUUCGUCGUUACCCCCUAGUAUUACUGCCAGGUCCUUUUGCGCAAAAUAAUGUAGUUGUAGACAGAUUACACUGCAGGCUGAACAAUUGCGAGUGGUACACUUGUGUCAACUGCACUGCGAUAUGUUGCAAAUAAGCAGCCCUACAUGACCUGGGUGUAGGUGGUGAGCCAGGACAACUACCUUGUAUUGUUAACCACAGGUUCUUCACCAUGCUCUGUGAAGAGGGAGUCCUUUUGGAGGUGGCCAUGCUAUCUCUGAAGGACGUACGGGCAGAAAGUUUGGAGCGCCCAAUAAACAGCAGUCUUUACAGAUUGAAUGCCUAUAGGCAAUGCACCAUGUGGGCAAGAGGAACAGAGUGCCUAUAACUGGCUGUGUGGUACAUUGAAACCGAUCACAAUUCACUUCUAAGGAGUGCUACAGAUUUGAAUAUGCUUUUUAUGAUUGUAACAUUUGACCUGCUCAUGCAGCCUACUUUACAUGUUUAUUCUUCAUCUGUUUUAUGCAGCCUACUGUACUAAAUUGUGUAAUGAAAAACAAAAUGGCUAUUACGUAUGAAUUUCUCCAUGCUGAAUGUCUUUAAGCAAUUUCAUUUAUUCCACCACCACCAAAUUGUUCCCUAUAGAGCAUAUACGAAAGGCUUGCCUC